Molecule: small nuclear RNA, 107 nt
Filed under: Carlito syrichta (Philippine tarsier)
Lineage: Eukaryota; Metazoa; Chordata; Mammalia; Primates; Tarsiidae
Source: RNAcentral
GUGCUCACUUCAGCAGCACAUAUACUAAAAGUGGAACGAUUCAGAGAAGAUCAGCAUGGCCCCUGCACAAGGAUGACAUGCAAAUUUGUGAAGCAUUCCAUAUUUUU